CCUCUUGAAACUUUGCCCUCUCUUUAUGGGGGCCAUAAAGGUUAUUUUUUAAUCGCACCCCAGCGGGGUCCCCUGUGCUCUGCAGUGGGGUCCUUGGCCUGGGGACAGUUGGCAUCACUGCUCUUUGCCCUUGUGUAGGUUCAGAAGGUUGGGGUGGGUUGGGGUAAGGCGUCAGGGUGCCGAGCAGCACCAUGCUGGCUGCCCUCAGCUUUGCACCUCUGUGAGCCCAUAUGAACAUCCUAAAGCCUUCAGCAUUGCCCAGGCAACAUUUCCAGCUGGAAAGAGAGCACCCACCCAAGGAGAAUAGGGCAUCCUGCUGAGCCAGCAGUUUCCUAUCAGCCACUGACAGAGAUAAGGAGCCAUCACCUCCCCGUACAGCUCCCAUCUCUCUGCUUGUUAAAUACCUGCUCAAAGCUCUCCUUUCCUUCCAGGCAGCUUUUCCUAUCAGCAUUUUCUCCAGCUCUUAAACAUGCCCUGAACCAAAGCGCUUAUGUUUGUUGCAACGAUUCGCCGUGCCAUUGGAAACCCCAAAUUGAAACCCGUCGGGUGGGUGAUGUGGCAAUGGGCUAUGGGUGAGGGGUCAGCUGUGCUGAAACCUCUUUUCUUUCCCUUUUUUUUUUUUUUUGUAUCUGUGAGAAGGACAGGGCAUCCCCUCCGCCCCAUGGCACAGGGUGAGGGAGGAGGUGGGAGCAGGAGGAGCCCCACUCCGCUACGGGGCACCCCUUUGCACAUCCCAGCCCCACAUCGACCACCGUCCGAGGUGGCUCAGCGCGAUGCAACCCCAUCGCCGUGCCCAAAGGCUCUCCCUCCAACGCACCUCCUAUCGACGUCGCCCCGAUUUCCAGCAUCGCUGCGUUGAAAAAUGGCAGGGGAGGGUUUGGCAGCGCGGCCGCGCGUGGAUUAUUCAACAAUUGUUUCCCAUUUUGCGCCCUCGCCUGCCUCAUCCUCCAGUAACAAUGACGAAGAGCGGCGCGGAGCCAGCGCCCGCGGCAGGGGUGUUGAGAUCAGGGACAGCACAAAAAUAUCUUCUCUCUGGAACAAAUAUUUACCAACCCUUCUGCCUUUUGUUCUUGUGGUUCUCAUAUUUUUUUUCCAGACAUUCACUGGCAAAAUGUCACAUUAAACAGCAACCCAGAAACUUCGGGGUAGCUGCUUGGCUGCUCUGGGCUUUGUUUUUCUCGCGCGUUAAUUGUUAAUGAAUUUCCAGCCAUUCAAGCCAACACAAACCUGUGAGAAAAAG
Long non-coding RNA from Gallus gallus (chicken), 1240 nucleotides. Lineage: Eukaryota; Metazoa; Chordata; Aves; Galliformes; Phasianidae. The record is from Ensembl.